CCUACGGGAGGCAGCAGUAGGGAAUAUUGCACAAUGGAGGAAACUCUGAUGCAGCGAUGCCGCGUGAGUGAAGAAGGCCUUUGGGUUGUAAAGCUCUUUCGUCGGGGAAGAAAAUGACGGUACCCGAAUAAGAAGGUCCGGCUAACUUCGUGCCAGCAGCCGCGGUAAUACGAAGGGACCUAGCGUAGUUCGGAAUUACUGGGCUUAAAGAGUUCGUAGGUGGUUAAAAAAGUUGGUUGUGAAAUCCCGAAGCUUAACUUCGGAACUGCAAUCAAAACUUUUUAGCUAGAGUAUGAUAGAGGAAAGCAGAAUUUCUAGUGUAGAGGUGAAAUUCGUAGAUAUUAGAAAGAAUACCAAUUGCGAAGGCAGCUUUCUGGAUCAUUACUGACGCUGAGGAACGAAAGCAUGGGUAGCGAAGAGGAUUAGAUACCCUCGUAGUCCAUGCCGUAAACGAUGUGUGUUAGACGUUGGAAAUUUAUUUUCAGUGUCGCAGCGAAAGCAGUAAACACACCGCCUGGGGAGUACGACCGCAAGGUUAAAACUCAAAUGAAUUGACGG
RNAcentral lists this ribosomal RNA (558 nucleotides) under uncultured bacterium. Its description in RNAcentral is "bacterial SSU rRNA". It matches the Rfam family "Bacterial small subunit ribosomal RNA", at positions 338 to 916 of the family's 1533-position model. The record is from RNAcentral.